This 597-nucleotide ribosomal RNA is filed under the name uncultured bacterium. RNAcentral's name for it is "bacterial SSU rRNA". It matches the Rfam family "Bacterial small subunit ribosomal RNA", at positions 55 to 650 of the family's 1533-position model. The record is from RNAcentral.
AUGCAAGUCGAACGAAGCACUUUAUUUGAUUUCUUCGGAAUGAAGAUUUUGUGACUGAGUGGCGGACGGGUGAGUAACGCGUGGGUAACCUGCCUCAUACAGGGGGAUAACAGUUGGAAACGACUGCUAAUACCGCAUAAGCGCACAGGGUCGCAUGACCUGGUGUGAAAAACUCCGGUGGUAUGAGAUGGACCCGCGUCUGAUUAGCCAGUUGGUGGGGUAACGGCCUACCAAAGCAACGAUCAGUAGCCGACCUGAGAGGGUGACCGGCCACAUUGGGACUGAGACACGGCCCAAACUCCUACGGGAGGCAGCAGUGGGGAAUAUUGCACAAUGGGGGAAACCCUGAUGCAGCGACGCCGCGUGAGCGAAGAAGUAUUUCGGUAUGUAAAGCUCUAUCAGCAGGGAAGAAGAAAUGACGGUACCUGACUAAGAAGCACCGGCUAAAUACGUGCCAGCAGCCGCGGUAAUACGUAUGGUGCAAGCGUUAUCCGGAUUUACUGGGUGUAAAGGGAGCGCAGGCGGUACGGCAAGUCUGAUGUGAAAGCCCGGGGCUCAACCCCGGUACUGCAUUGGAAACUGUCGGACUAGAGUGUC